GCGGCCAUAGCUCAGCUGGAGAGAGUGACGGACUACGAAUCCGUAGGUCGCAGGUUCGAAUCCUGCUGGCCGCGCCA
This 77-nucleotide transfer RNA is filed under the name Desulfobacteraceae bacterium. RNAcentral describes it as "tRNA-Arg". It matches the Rfam family "tRNA". From Rfam's summary of the family: Transfer RNA (tRNA) molecules are approximately 80 nucleotides in length. Their secondary structure includes four short double-helical elements and three loops (D, anti-codon, and T loops). The record is from RNAcentral. Lineage: Bacteria; Pseudomonadati; Thermodesulfobacteriota; Desulfobacteria; Desulfobacterales; Desulfobacteraceae.